RNAcentral lists this ribosomal RNA (780 nucleotides) under uncultured Neocallimastigales. RNAcentral describes it as "partial large subunit ribosomal RNA". It matches the Rfam family "Eukaryotic large subunit ribosomal RNA", at positions 23 to 642 of the family's 3401-position model. The record is from RNAcentral. Lineage: Eukaryota; Fungi; Neocallimastigomycota; Neocallimastigomycetes; Neocallimastigales.
AGAGAGAGACAUGCGCGCAUAUCAAUAAGCGGAGGAAAAGAAACUAACUAGGAUUCCCUCAGUAACGGCGAGUGAAGCGGGAAGAGCUCAAAUUUGAAAUCUUCAAGGUUCUACCUUGACGAAUUGUAGUUUAAAGAAGUGUUUUCUGUUGGAGUUUUGGUAAAAGUUCUUUGGAAUAGGACAUCGAUAGAGGGUGAGAAUCCCGUAUUUGACCAUUAUUUCCAGCUUUGUGAUACACUUUCAAAGAGUCGGAUUGUUUGGGAAUGCAGUCCAAAAUGGGUGGUAAAUUUCAUCUAAAGCUAAAUAUUGGCGAGAGACCGAUAGCGAACAAGUACCGUGAGGGAAAGAUGAAAAGAACUUUGAAAAGAGAGUUAAACAGUACGUGAAAUUGUCAAAAGGGAAGCGUUUGACACCAGUGUUGUUUUUCUCGAAAAUCAAUUAAAAGGAACGGAUUUAUGCUAGCUGUAUUAGACUUUAUCAGCUAUCUGCUUUAGUUUUGAUCUUUUCUUUAAUGCACUUUUCAGUUAACAAGUCAACAUCAAUUUCUUUUGCUGUAAAAAAGCUUGAGGAAGGUGGCUUGAGAUUCGUCCUAAGUGUUUAUAGCCUCUUGCCUAUGCAGUCGGAGAGAUUGAGGUCUGCAGCGUAGAUCCUUCGGGGCUAAAUGCAUUUGUGCUAAGUUAUAACAUUUUAUAGACAACUUGUUGACUAUGAUUUGUCUUGUAGCUUACUCGCUUAUGUUAUUUUACCUACGCUUAGGAUGUUGAUGUGAUACUGCGAGCA